This is a long non-coding RNA of Olea europaea var. sylvestris, 635 nucleotides long. RefSeq lists it as uncharacterized. The transcript has 3 exons. The record is from RefSeq and is a predicted model, not a curated record. Lineage: Eukaryota; Viridiplantae; Streptophyta; Magnoliopsida; Lamiales; Oleaceae.
CUAUCUUUGUCGAACUUUAUGAAUUGCUUUUGCAAGUGUCUUGCAAACUGGUCCUUUUAAAAUUAUGUGCAUUCUGGGAGCAUCCCCAUCUCCUCUCCUAUUAUAAAUAAAAACAAAUGAAAACAUGAAUAAACUCCAACUUUCUACUGAAAGGUCCAUCUGAUAUAUAUACAUUUCUUUGUAAUACUUAUAUACGUAAAAUAUAUUUUCAGUAAGUGUUUUUAUCGCAUGUUAAACUUUUACUUCAUUGAUGUCCUAAAUAUUAUAUUGCAUACAACCCUUUUCAGCUGACCUGUCUAGAUGAGUGGGCUUCUAUUGAAAGGGAUCAUACUAAUGUGUUAUCCUGGGCUAUACAAGAUCUUCAGGCCAGCACUCUCCGUGUUCCAGUCACUGGAGGGGCAAAGGGGGACAUUGAAACAAUUAAGGCAGCUGUUUGGUCUGCAGUUGAUGUGAUACAGGUGAUGGGAUCCUCCAUAGGCUCCAUGUUUCAGCAGGUGGAGGGGAUGAACAGUGCGGUUUCUGAAUUUGCUGAAGUAGUAGCCCAAGAGAGAGCGAUGCUUGAUGAAUGUGAGUCUCUUUUGGCUUACACGGCAACUAUCCAGGUGAGGAAGAUGCUAUAAUAUUGCACCUUGAAA